UGUUGUUCGGAUAGGAUUUGGGAUUUAGACAGUUCAAUCUGGUAAACACGUGAAACUAUUAUUCACAUUGACAUCGAUUCAUUAGCCUUAUUUGCUAAACAUGGGAGCAAAGGAUAUAGCAAAAGCACUAUGGAAAAAUCCAUUGGUUUGGAAAGUUGCAAAGAGCUGGGGAUUUUUUGUUGUGGUCAUCCUGGUUGCUAAUGAAAUGUCAGCGGCUGAUGCGGCUAAUGUAGCUGAAAUUACAGGAAAUGUCGCAAACGCAAGUUGAUUACAAACGAGGAUUAAAAAGUUGUGAGAGAGAAGAUAUAGACUGUGUAGAACAGGAGUUGAAUGGACAGUAUACAAUUAUAACAUGACUUAAGUCAUUCUGUUUGUACAUGUCUGCGGCAGACUAUCUGUCCACUUGUCCUGUACGUUUUAAGUAUGUAAAUAAGAAUGAACUAUUUGUUUGUCAUAUUUUAUAAUACUAUUAAAUUAAGUAACAUGGAU
Long non-coding RNA from Ostrea edulis (European flat oyster), 489 nucleotides. RefSeq lists it as uncharacterized. The record is from RefSeq and is a predicted model, not a curated record. Lineage: Eukaryota; Metazoa; Mollusca; Bivalvia; Ostreida; Ostreidae. The transcript has 3 exons.